This 414-nucleotide ribosomal RNA is filed under the name uncultured bacterium. RNAcentral describes it as "bacterial SSU rRNA". It matches the Rfam family "Bacterial small subunit ribosomal RNA", at positions 917 to 1333 of the family's 1533-position model. The record is from RNAcentral.
GGACCCGCACAAGCGGUGGAGCAUGUGGUUUAAUUCGAUGCAACGCGAAAAACCUUACCUACUCUUGACAUACUUGGGAGCUCUUGUAAUGAGAGUGUGCCUUAUGGAACCAAGAUACAGGUGCUGCAUGGCUGUCGUCAGCUCGUGUCGUGAGAUGUUCCGUUAAGUCGGAUAACGAGCGCAACCCUUACCCUUAUUUGCCAGCGAUUCGGUCGGGAACUAUAAGGGGACUGCCGGUGAUAAACCGGAGGAAGGUGAGGACGACGUCAAGUCAUCAUGGCCCUUACGAGUAGGGCUACACACGUGCUACAAUGGGGAAUACAGACGGACGCUAAGCCGCGAGGUGGUGCUAAUCCCAGAAACGUCUCGUAGUCCGGAUUGGAGUCUGCAACUCGACUCCAUGAAGUCGGAAUC